Molecule: ribosomal RNA, 239 nt
Filed under: uncultured bacterium
Lineage: Bacteria
Description: partial 16S ribosomal RNA
Rfam family: Bacterial small subunit ribosomal RNA
Source: RNAcentral
GAAGAACCUUACCCGGGUUUGACAUGCCAGUGGUAGGAAAGCGAAAGCGGCCUGGCCCUUCGGGGAGCUGGCACAGGUGCUGCAUGGCUGUUGUCAGCUUGUGUUGUGAGAUGUUUGGUUAAGUUCCGCAACGAGCGCAACCCUCGUGGUUAGUUACAAGUGUCUACCCAGACUGCCGGUAUUAAACCGGAGGAAGGUGGGGAUGAAGUCAAGUCAGCAUGGCCUUUAUAUCUUGGGCA